AUGCAUUUCGAUGGACUUAUUGGUAUUUCCAACCCAAGAAGGCUGCCUUAUAGGGCCAAUACCUAGGAAAGUAAAUAGCGCAAUCUCUGUGCUACUCAGUGGUCAGGAGAUUCUUCUGCAUUUAUCUGGAAGUUUCUAAUGCAAGCUGCCUUUGUGAAAAAGAACUCCCACAUCGUGGAUGUGUCCAAUUCAGAAGAACAAUAAACAUUGACUGUGGUACAAUAUCACUGCACAGACAGAUGCUCCAACUAUUGAGGGUAUUUUUUUGUCCACAGUUUCAUCAAACAUCAAGAGUCUCUUUCUAGGUCAGCUCCAAUGGAAAAGUACUUAUUUUAGAACCCUCAUUUUUUGUUUCCCUAGCAAUGCUGUGACAUCAUAUCAAGGUUCUUACACUCAAAAUUACAGCCUAAAUGUCCUUCUUGGUUCUUCUCAUACAACUCAUAUUUGGAGGUGUUUCAAUCUCCUCAUUAGAUGUAGCAAACCUAAAAUAUGCUGAAAAAAAAAAAAA
Molecule: long non-coding RNA, 508 nt
Filed under: Equus asinus (donkey)
Lineage: Eukaryota; Metazoa; Chordata; Mammalia; Perissodactyla; Equidae
Description: lncRNA (ENSEASG00005037906.1)
Source: RNAcentral